AACGAACGCUGGCGGCAUGCCUAACACAUGCAAGUCGAACGCUAACUUCGCGUCGGUGGGCGCACGGGUGCGUACGGGGGGGGAACCUGCCCUCAGGCUGCGACUAACUCUGCGAAAGGGGCACGAAUACGGGGCAAUUUCUUGGGACGAACGAUGUAUCGCCGUUGGAUGGGUGCGAAUUGGUUUAGCCGGUGGGUAGGGUAACAGCCUACCAAGGCGAGGAUGCAGAGCUGGUCUGAGAGGAUGAUCAACCACACUGGGACUGAGACACGGCCCAGACUGCGACGGAAGGGAGCAGUGUGGAAUACUAGAGAAGGGGCGAAGGCGUAAUGCAGCCGUGUCGGGGAAGUGAGGAAGGCGUUAGGGUUGUAAAGCUCUUUUACCCGAGAUGAUAGUGACGGUACCGGGAGAAUAAGCUCCGGCUAACUACGUG
Molecule: ribosomal RNA, 433 nt
Filed under: uncultured bacterium
Lineage: Bacteria
Description: partial 16S ribosomal RNA
Rfam family: Bacterial small subunit ribosomal RNA
Source: RNAcentral